Long non-coding RNA from Amblyraja radiata (thorny skate), 462 nucleotides. RefSeq lists it as uncharacterized. The record is from RefSeq and is a predicted model, not a curated record. The transcript is spliced from 3 exons. NCBI's taxonomy places the organism in Eukaryota, Metazoa, Chordata, Chondrichthyes, Rajiformes, Rajidae.
AUAGUCUGAAGGGAUAAAGUGUUCCAUUUUAUACCUGGUUAAUAUAAAUACAGUGGUGCUGAAGGAAGAUCAUUACUUGGUUAAAAUCCUACUCACAGCUGGCAGAAAGGCCAUUACAAGAAACUGGCUUGCAGCGGACACACCCAGACUUAGACAAUGGUUAGACAUAGUACAGAAAAUAUUUGUGAUGGAGAAAAUGACAUAUUCUCUAAGAGUGAAAGAAGACGAGUUUAACAGAAAAUGGGAAAAAUGGAUUAGGUAUAGAAAUAAAGACAUCAAUACUGUAUAAUUUUAUUGACAAUAAUGUAAGUUAUUGGAAUAUGUUUCAAUAAGAAAAUAGUUCUGUAGACGGCAUCAUUAAUUGUAAGCUGCACUGUUGUACGUUUCACUGCAUUGUUGUAUGUUUCGUUGUUAUAUUUGUGUUUUAUUUGUGUAUGCAUAAAAGCAAUAAAGACUACAGUG